GGAGAGGUGACCGAGCUGGCCGAAGGUGCACGACUGGAAAUCGUGUGUGGGGUUAAACGCCUCACCCAGGGUUCGAAUCCCUGCCUCUCCG
RNAcentral lists this transfer RNA (91 nucleotides) under Calditrichota bacterium. Its description in RNAcentral is "Calditrichaeota bacterium tRNA-Ser". It matches the Rfam family "tRNA". From Rfam's summary of the family: Transfer RNA (tRNA) molecules are approximately 80 nucleotides in length. The record is from RNAcentral. Lineage: Bacteria; Pseudomonadati; Calditrichota.